GGCUGUAGCUCAGUGGUAGAGCACAUGCCUAGCAUGCACGAGGUUCUGGGUUCAAUCCCCAGUACCGCCA
Molecule: transfer RNA, 70 nt
Filed under: Camelus bactrianus (Bactrian camel)
Lineage: Eukaryota; Metazoa; Chordata; Mammalia; Artiodactyla; Camelidae
Also listed under: 1 other name
Rfam family: tRNA
About the family: Transfer RNA (tRNA) molecules are approximately 80 nucleotides in length. Their secondary structure includes four short double-helical elements and three loops (D, anti-codon, and T loops). Further hydrogen bonds mediate the characteristic L-shaped molecular structure. tRNAs have two regions of fundamental functional importance: the anti-codon, which is responsible for specific mRNA codon recognition, and the 3' end, to which the tRNAs corresponding amino acid is attached (by aminoacyl-tRNA synthetases). tRNAs cope with the degeneracy of the genetic code in two manners: having more than one tRNA (with a specific anti-codon) for a particular amino acid; and 'wobble' base-pairing, i.e. permitting non-standard base-pairing at the 3rd anti-codon position.
Source: Rfam by way of RNAcentral